GAUGAACGCUGGCGGCGUGCCUAAUACAUGCAAGUCGAGCGCGAGAGUGAGGAGCUUGCUCCUCAUAAUCGAGCGGCGGACGGGUGAGUAACACGUAGGCAACCUACCCUUGAGAUUGGGAUAACUACCGGAAACGGUAGCUAAUACCGGAUACGACUUUUCCACACAAGUGGAAUGGUUAAAAGGCGGAUUUAUCUGCCGCUCAUGGAUGGGCCUGCGGUGCAUUAGCUAGUUGGUGAGGUAGUGGCUCACCAAGGCGACGAUGCAUAGCCGACCUGAGAGGGUGAUCGGCCACACUGGGACUCAGACACGGCCCAGGCUCCUGAGGGAGGAAGCAGUAGGGAAUCUUCCGCAAUGGACGCAAGUCUGACGGAGCAACGCCGCGUGAGUGAUGAAGGGUUUCGGCUCGUAAAACUCUGUUGUUAAGGAAGAACACUUGAGGUAGUAACUGGCCUUGAGAUGACGGUACUUAACCAGAAAGCCACGGCUAACUACGUGCCAGCAGCCGCCGUAA
RNAcentral lists this ribosomal RNA (514 nucleotides) under uncultured bacterium. RNAcentral's name for it is "partial 16S ribosomal RNA". It matches the Rfam family "Bacterial small subunit ribosomal RNA", at positions 28 to 523 of the family's 1533-position model. The record is from RNAcentral.